RNAcentral lists this ribosomal RNA (254 nucleotides) under uncultured bacterium. Its description in RNAcentral is "partial 16S ribosomal RNA". It matches the Rfam family "Bacterial small subunit ribosomal RNA", at positions 524 to 776 of the family's 1533-position model. The record is from RNAcentral.
UACGUAGGGGGCAAGCGUUGUCCGGAUUUAUUGGGCGUAAAGAGCUCGUAGGCGGCUCACUAAGUCGGAUGUGAAAACUCCAGGCUCAACCUGGAGACGCCAUUCGAUACUGGUGUGGCUUGAGUUCGGUAGGGGAGCACGGAAUUCCUGGUGUAGCGGUGAAAUGCGCAGAUAUCAGGAGGAACACCGGUGGCGAAGGCGGGUCUCUGGGCCGAUAUUGACGCUGAGGAGCGAAAGCGUGGGGAGCGAACAGG